AUUGAACGCUGGCGGCAUGCCUUACACAUGCAAGUCGAACGGCAGCACGGGGCAACCUGGUGGCGAGUGGCGAACGGGUGAGUAAUGCAUCGGAACGUGCCAUUGAGUGGGGGAUAACGUAGCGAAAGUUGCGCUAAUACCGCAUAUUCUGUGAGCAGGAGAGCAGGGGACCGCAAGGCCUUGCGCUCUUUGAGCGGCCGAUGUCAGAUUAGCUAGUUGGUGAGGUAACGGCUUACCAAGGCGACGAUCUGUAGCGGGUCUGAGAGGAUGAUCCGCCACACUGGAACUGAGACACGGUCCAGACUCCUACGGGAGGCAGCAGUGGGGAAUUUUGGACAAUGGGGGGCAACCCUGAUCCAGCCAUGCCGCGUGAGUGAAGAAGGCCU
Molecule: ribosomal RNA, 386 nt
Filed under: uncultured bacterium
Lineage: Bacteria
Description: bacterial SSU rRNA
Rfam family: Bacterial small subunit ribosomal RNA
Source: RNAcentral